GGACGCAUAGCUCAGUUGGUUAGAGCGUUCGCUUCACACGCGAGAGGUCUUCGGUUCGAGCCCGAAUGUGUCCACCA
RNAcentral lists this transfer RNA (77 nucleotides) under Clostridiales bacterium. RNAcentral describes it as "tRNA-Val". It matches the Rfam family "tRNA". From Rfam's summary of the family: Transfer RNA (tRNA) molecules are approximately 80 nucleotides in length. The record is from RNAcentral. Lineage: Bacteria; Bacillati; Bacillota; Clostridia; Eubacteriales.